CAGCCGCCACGGGAAUACGAAGGGGGCUAGCGUUGCUCGGAAUCACUGGGCGUAAAGGGUGCGUAGGCGGGUCUUUAAGUCAGGGGUGAAAUCCUGGAGCUCAACUCCAGAACUGCCUUUAAUACUGAAGAUCUUGAGUUCGGGAGAGGUGAGUGGAACUGCGAGUGUAGAGGUGAAAUUCGUAGAUAUUCGCAAGAACACCAGUGGCGAAGGCGGCUCACUGGCCCGAUACUGACGCUGAGGCACGAAAGCGUGGGGAGCAAACAGGAUUAGAUACCCCCGUAGUCCCUGUCUCUUAUAC
RNAcentral lists this ribosomal RNA (301 nucleotides) under uncultured bacterium. RNAcentral describes it as "partial 16S ribosomal RNA". It matches the Rfam family "Bacterial small subunit ribosomal RNA", at positions 509 to 807 of the family's 1533-position model. The record is from RNAcentral.